UGAGGAAUAUUGGUCAAUGGAGGCAACUCUGAACCAGCCAUGCCGCGUGCAGGAAGACGGUUCUAUGGAUUGUAAACUGCUUUUAUACAGGAAGAAACACUCCCUUGCGAGGGAGCUUGACAGUACUGUAGGAAUAAGGAUCGGCUAACUCCGUGCCAGCAGCCGCGGUAAUACGGAGGAUCCAAGCGUUAUCCGGAAUCAUUGGGUUUAAAGGGUCCGUAGGCGGAUUGAUAAGUCAGUGGUGAAAGUUUGCGGCUUAACCGUAAAAUUGCCAUUGAUACUGUUAGUCUUGAAUAAUUAUGAAGUAGCUAGAAUAUGUAGUGUAGCGGUGAAAUGCUUAGAUAUUACAUGGAAUACCGAUUGCGAAGGCAGGUUACUAAUAAUUUAUUGACGCUGAUGGACGAAAGCGUGGGUAGCGAACAGG
Molecule: ribosomal RNA, 424 nt
Filed under: uncultured bacterium
Lineage: Bacteria
Description: bacterial SSU rRNA
Rfam family: Bacterial small subunit ribosomal RNA
Source: RNAcentral